This 213-nucleotide unclassified non-coding RNA is filed under the name uncultured Penicillium. Its description in RNAcentral is "sequence contains ITS1". The record is from RNAcentral. Lineage: Eukaryota; Fungi; Ascomycota; Eurotiomycetes; Eurotiales; Aspergillaceae.
CGGAACCAAGAGAUCCGUUGUUGAAAGUUUUAACUUAUUUAGUUUAUGCUCAGACUGCAAUCUUCAGACAGAGUUCAAUAGUGUCUCCGGUGCGCGCGGACCCGGGGGCAGAAGCCCCCCGGCGGCCGUGAGGCGGGCGCACCGAAGCAACAAGGUACAAUAAACACGGGUGGGAGGUUGGACCCAGAGGGCCCUCACUCAGUAAUGAUCCUU